UUGUCUCCUGGGAGCCAAUAAAGCUGUGAGUUUUUUCUUUACACCAAAUGCAGCUCUACGGGCGAUCAAUCAAUGGGUAGUCUUCGGAUAAUCUGUGAUAGUGAGAAAUCUAAUAAAGCUAGCGACUAAAAAAGGAAAACAAUCUAUUUUCCUCUUAGGUGAACUACGUCAGGAUGGGUGUGUUCCACUUCUGCUGCUUGAGUAGGGGUAUCCUAUGUGUUGAAGAUUUGAGGUACAGGAGAAAAACUGUCAAGCCUGUAUUCUGUUCAUAAGCAAGGUUCUGAAGAACGAAACUUUCACUUCUUUCCCCGGAAGACAAUUCUCCCGUGUAGUCCCUCUAAUUAUUUAAGGUAGGUCCUCAUUUCUUUAAAAUAGCUGAGUUAUUCAAGUUUGAAAAGCAGCGACUGCGUCAGCAGCCUGACUUAAACUGACAAAAGCAAGGAAAUUCUGGAUCCAUAAUUCACCUUCCACCCCUCGACCUCACA
This is a long non-coding RNA of Acinonyx jubatus (cheetah), 485 nucleotides long. RefSeq lists it as uncharacterized. The transcript is spliced from 3 exons. The record is from RefSeq and is a predicted model, not a curated record. Lineage: Eukaryota; Metazoa; Chordata; Mammalia; Carnivora; Felidae.